This 481-nucleotide ribosomal RNA is filed under the name uncultured bacterium. Its description in RNAcentral is "partial 16S ribosomal RNA". It matches the Rfam family "Bacterial small subunit ribosomal RNA", at positions 28 to 507 of the family's 1533-position model. The record is from RNAcentral.
GAUGAACGCUGGCGGCGUGCUUAACACAUGCAAGUCGAACGAAGCACUUUAUUUGAUUUCCUUCGGGACUGAUUAUUUUGUGACUGAGUGGCGGACGGGUGAGUAACGCGUGGGUAACCUGCCUUGUACAGGGGGAUAACAGUUGGAAACGGCUGCUAAUACCGCAUAAGCGCACGGCAUCGCAUGAUGCAGUGUGAAAAACUCCGGUGGUAUAAGAUGGACCCGCGUUGGAUUAGCUAGUUGGUGAGGUAACGGCCCACCAAGGCGACGAUCCAUAGCCGACCUGAGAGGGUGACCGGCCACAUUGGGACUGAGACACGGCCCAAACUCCUACGGGAGGCAGCAGUGGGGAAUAUUGCACAAUGGGCGAAAGCUUGAUGCAGCGACGCCGCGUGAGCGAAGAAGUAUUUCGGUAUGUAAAGCUCUAUCAGCAGGGAAGAUAAUGACGGUACCUGACGAAGAAGCACCGGCUAAAUACGUG